RNAcentral lists this ribosomal RNA (462 nucleotides) under uncultured bacterium. RNAcentral describes it as "bacterial SSU rRNA". It matches the Rfam family "Bacterial small subunit ribosomal RNA", at positions 329 to 792 of the family's 1533-position model. The record is from RNAcentral.
UUCCAGACUCCUACGGGAGGCAGCAGUGGGGAAUAUUGCACAAUGGGAGGAACCCUGAUGCAGCGACGCCGCGUGGGUGAAGGAGCAACUCGGCGCGUAAAGCCCUAUCGGCAGGGAAGAAAAGCGAACAGGUUCGCCUGGACGGUACCUGACUAAGAAGACCCGGCUAACUACGGGCCAGCAGCCGCGGUAAUACGUAGGGGGCAAGCGUUGUCCGGAUUCACUGGGUGUAAAGGGAGCGUAGACGGCGACGCAAGUCUGGAGUGAAAGCCCGGGGCCCAACCCCGGGACUGCUCUGGAAACUGCGAGGCUGGAGUGUCGGAGAGGCAGGCGGAAUUCCUAGUGUAGCGGUGAAAUGCGUAGAUAUUAGGAGGAACACCAGUGGCGAAGGCGGCCUGCUGGACGAUGACUGACGCUGAGGCUCGAAAGCGUGGGGAGCAAACAGGAUUAGAUACCCCUGUA